UACGAAGGGGGCUAGCGUUGCUCGGAAUCACUGGGCGUAAAGCGCACGUAGGCGGAUUGCUAAGUCAGGGGUGAAAUCCUGGAGCUCAACUCCAGAACUGCCUUUGAUACUGAGAAGCUUGAGUCCGGGAGAGGUGAGUGGAACUGCGAGUGUAGAGGUGAAAUUCGUAGAUAUUCGGAGGAACACCAGUGGCGAAGGCGGCUCACUGGUCCAUUACUGACGCUGAGGUGCGAAAGCGUGGGGAGCAAACAGG
RNAcentral lists this ribosomal RNA (253 nucleotides) under uncultured bacterium. RNAcentral's name for it is "partial 16S ribosomal RNA". It matches the Rfam family "Bacterial small subunit ribosomal RNA", at positions 524 to 776 of the family's 1533-position model. The record is from RNAcentral.